Molecule: long non-coding RNA, 412 nt
Filed under: Felis catus (domestic cat)
Lineage: Eukaryota; Metazoa; Chordata; Mammalia; Carnivora; Felidae
Description: lncRNA (ENSFCAG00000051020.1)
Source: RNAcentral
CCCCAAAACCCCAGAGAGGGAAAGUUUAUCAUACUCUUUGCAACCUUCUGAUUCUAUCAGAGAGAGAGGCUCCGCCUAAUGCUAGCUAAUCUUUAACAGCCACCCUGUGACGCUUGCAAACCUUCCCUUCCUUCUGUCUCUGGCAGACUCUGGCCGGGGCUGCCCCCUCUCAAUGUUAUUCCUUGAAUUCAUCGUGAUGCCCCUUCUACCGAUGGAAUCGAAUACUGGCUUCCCAACGAUGCUGGUGACGGGAAGCUCUCUUCCUUAAUCAACCGAUUCACAGAAGUUUCGAAAACAAAGAGUAAGCCGGAAGAAAGACAAACGUUAAACAUGGGGGCGGUGUCGGCAGCGCGUCUGCGGCAGAUGGAGUUUGAGGAACACGACGAGAGAACUCUGAUUCAGCACAUCUGCC